RNAcentral lists this ribosomal RNA (405 nucleotides) under uncultured bacterium. RNAcentral's name for it is "bacterial SSU rRNA". It matches the Rfam family "Bacterial small subunit ribosomal RNA", at positions 29 to 416 of the family's 1533-position model. The record is from RNAcentral.
AACGAACGCUGGCGGCGUGCCUAACACAUGCAAGUCGAGCGGGAAAGUUCCCUUCGGGGAGCAAGUACAGCGGCGAACGGGUGAGUAACACGUAGGUAACCUACCCUGGUGACUGGGAUAACUUGCCGAAAGGCGGGCUAAUACCAGAUAAGACCACGAGGGCUGCGGCCCUUGGGGUAAAAGAUGGCCUCUGCUUGCAUGCUAUCACGCCGGGAUGGGCCUGCGCGCCAUAGCUAGUUGGUGAGGUAACGGCUCACCAAGGCAGAGAUGGCUAGCUGGUCUGAGAGGAUGGCCAGCCACACUGGGACUGAGACACGGCCCAGACUCCUACGGGAGGCAGCAGUGGGGAAUAUUGCGCAAUGGGCGAAAGCCUGACGCAGCGACGCCGCGUGGGUGAUGAAGGCC